Molecule: unclassified non-coding RNA, 280 nt
Filed under: Hevea brasiliensis (rubber tree)
Lineage: Eukaryota; Viridiplantae; Streptophyta; Magnoliopsida; Malpighiales; Euphorbiaceae
Source: RNAcentral
UAAGUCAACUUGGCACCGCACAGAAUGAAUAAUAUUAGCAAGGGAAUUAACAUCACGUAUUUCCUUCACCAGUUCCUCUAGCACCGCUCCCGAGUCAUCUAGAGAAAUUAGAUCUACCUUGUUAAGAAUGAUAACAUCCGCAAAAGCUAUUUGUAAAUAAGCUUCAGGAAAUGAAGAGGAGUCAGGAUUUGGUUUUAGCUGAUACCGAAGGUUCUUUGCAUCAACAACAGUGAUUAUGGAGUCAAGCCUAACAUCUGAUUCCAGCUGAUCAUCCAACCAA